Long non-coding RNA from Gasterosteus aculeatus aculeatus (three-spined stickleback), 1262 nucleotides. The record is from Ensembl. Lineage: Eukaryota; Metazoa; Chordata; Actinopteri; Perciformes; Gasterosteidae.
CCAGAGACGGAUGACGUCGGGCGCCUCUUCUCGCUGUCGUUAGGCGUGUGGGGUACUGGGGGGGGGGGCGAGCACCAGAGUAGACCCUGCAGGACCAGAGUGCCAUUAGAAAGUCAGUUAAGUGUACUUUUCUCUCACAGAUAACUCCAUUUUUGGGGGGGGGGCUCUGUCCUCCGACCCCGUCCAGCUGGUUUUCCGGUGAAGCGCUACAGAUACUGAGGUGUGCAGCCCUCCCGUGAUCAGGAGAAAUAGCAUUUAGUCACGAGAUGAUACUGUUUUAUCCCCUCGACAUCGUCUGCUGGGGACCCGGACCUGAUGUUGGUCAUGUGAUCCCCAAAAACACUGUUUAAUGUACAUAAGAAGUGCUGGGAUUGUCACAUGACCCGUUUGUAACUUCACUCACAAACUGCUAAUUGUAAUGUGCUUUCAAUGAUUGUACUUUUCUAAGAAUCUUUUUCUCUUUUUUUUCUUACUUUAUUUUAAUAAGCCCAGUUUUUUCUCCUUUUUAUUCUGCAGGGUUUUUUGAUUACUGUAAAGUCUUUGCUGCGUUUUCUACAGGAAGUCAAACUGAUUUUCGUUCAUCCGUCCACUCAGCUCACUGAAGAUGAGUCUUUCUUCUUGUAAAAUGAUCAGUUUUCUCCACCGAGUUAAAAACGGACUGUACCCCCCCCCCCCCGAAGAAGCCUGGAGACCAGAAAGCAGUUCCAUGAAAUGGCCUGUCCUCAAGUCGGAGGGGGACAUGUGAGCGCUUGCACCGCAAAUUGAGACUAAAGCUGCUUUGUGAGCGACAUAGUGUGGACUAUUGUUACUUAAGUGCUUACAAUGUACCACUUUUAUGUAGAACUAAUGUUAGAUUUGUCAAAGGAAUUCAAUUAUGGAUCCACAGACUCUGAAAUUGAUUAGCUACUCUUUUGUCAUUGGUUUUGUAGAAGUCACUUCCUCAGAGGAUUGCGCUCUAAAGAUUUGUUUGUGGAGGAUUUACAGGAGACAAGGACAUUUUUAACACUUACCUACAGUAUCUCUUCCAGAGGCCAGUUGAUUUAAAUAACCCCCCCGCCUGGAUAUGUAGUUGCCAGUUUUUGUGCACAAACCCCACUCUCUUGUCCAUGUUGAAUUGUAAAUAUGUUCAUUUGCUUUAUUUAUGUUUUGAUGCCGUGAUCAAUCCUCUUGGGGUUGGUGUUAUUAUGAAUGGGCUUCCUGCGAUGGAGCGCGUUGGAAUAUGAUGACUUCUUACAAGUCUAAAUUUAAUAAACCGGUCUAUA